AUGGCCACCAAGGGCCAGAAGCGGAAGGGGUGGCAGAGGAGUGGCACAAGGACGAGAGACUAAGAAUUGAUGACUUCUCCCAGAUGAAGAUCUGAUGAGAGAGCUAUGGGCUGAGAUGCUGCAAUGAUGAACACCACGGAAAUCCCCAGAAGCAAACAAGCCAACAGAGGUCACUUGGUUACCUUUGAAAAGUCCACCAGUUCUGCUUUGGAGAGCGACUUUGGGAAGGAACACUGCAGAGAGACAGGGAAUUCUAAUGAAAACGUGUGUUAGGAUGUUUGGGAGAUGAAGAUUGGAAGCUAUUCUUCUAUUUCUAAUAUCAACCAAAAGCUG
RNAcentral lists this long non-coding RNA (333 nucleotides) under Crocodylus porosus (Australian saltwater crocodile). RNAcentral's name for it is "lncRNA (ENSCPRG00005017510.1)". The record is from RNAcentral. Lineage: Eukaryota; Metazoa; Chordata; Crocodylia; Crocodylidae.